Microcebus murinus (gray mouse lemur) is the source of this 311-nucleotide non-coding RNA. Lineage: Eukaryota; Metazoa; Chordata; Mammalia; Primates; Cheirogaleidae. The record is from RefSeq and is a predicted model, not a curated record.
GUGCGUGCCCAGAAAGAUGGCGGCCACCUACAAGCCACGAGAAGAGGCCUUGGAAUAAAACCUACCUCGCCAAAACUUCAAUCUUGGAUUUCCAGCCUCCAGAACUGAAUGGGAGCCAAGGGAUGGGACGGAGGUGAGGUCGACUGUCAGCUCGCUGCACCGAUGUGUCCAGGGCCUGAGCCCGGCACCUCCCUGCCACCAGCAGCACUGCCUCUUCUUGCAGCUGCAGAACGAUGCCACACAGGUACCCAGCCACUCAGUGAGUCCUCAGCAACUGCAGCUUCCUCCUUGCAUAUAAACGUGCUCUGAUA